AAACAUAUUUGAUCCCUUCGGGGUGAAAAUAUGUGGAUCGAGCGGCGGACGGGUGAGUAACACGUGGGCAACCUGCCUGUAAGUCUGGGAUAACCCCGGGAAACCGGAGCUAAUACCAGAUAAUCAAGAACACCACAUGGUGUUGUUGUGAAAGAUGGUUCUGCCAUCCCUUACAGAUGGGCCCGCGGCGCAUUAGCUAGUUGGUAGGGUAAUGGCCUACCAAGGCGACGAUGCGUAGCCGACCUGAGAGGGUGAUCGGCCACACUGGGACUGAGACACGGCCCAGACUCCUACGGGAGGCAGCAGUAGGGAAUCUUCGGCAAUGGACGAAAGUCUGACCGAGCAACGCCGCGUGAGCGAUGAAGGUCUUCGGAUCGUAAAGCUCUGUUGUCAGAGAAGAACACGUGAUAGAGGAAAUGCUAUCACCUUGACGGUAUCUGACCAGAAAGCCCCGGCUAACUACGUGCCAGCAGCCGCGGUAAUACGUAGGGGGCGAGCGUUGUCCGGAAUUAUUGGGCGUAAAGCGCGCGCAGGCGGCUUCUUAAGUCUGAUGUG
Molecule: ribosomal RNA, 555 nt
Filed under: uncultured Caryophanales bacterium
Lineage: Bacteria; Bacillati; Bacillota; Bacilli; Caryophanales
Description: bacterial SSU rRNA
Rfam family: Bacterial small subunit ribosomal RNA
Source: RNAcentral